Molecule: long non-coding RNA, 1461 nt
Organism: Sapajus apella (tufted capuchin)
Lineage: Eukaryota; Metazoa; Chordata; Mammalia; Primates; Cebidae
Exons: 2
Source: RefSeq, a predicted model, not a curated record
CUGGGAGAUUGAGGCUGCAGUAAGCUGUGAUCGUAUCACUGUACUACAGCCCAGGUGACAGAGUGACACCCUGUUUCCCUGACCCUGGUAAAGAAGGUUGUUUAAUUUGUGGAAAAGGUAAAACAGAAGGUCUCUGGCCAGGGAGACCAGGGAGACAUCAGGUAGGUCUGAAGGAAGCUGCUGCAGUAGCUGCAAAGGAUCACAUGAAUGAAUGAAAAGCAGAUGGACACAUGUCCAGACUUCCUCCGCUCAGCUCCCAGAACUCUCACAGCAUGGCUUUCCCUCUGCAUGGGAGCCUUCUUUGGGAAAAUACAACCCACCCAAAGAAGAAAAACCGAUGGGUACUGAACUCAGAUGUUUCAGGGCAGGUUGUCUUUGCUUUUAACAAAUGAUCAAGGCAAUGAAGCAUUCCCUUCAAAAUUCUCAAGGAAACUUAUUUUUAAAUUAGAAUUCAAUAUCCUGGUAAAAUUAAGAAUCUGUCAAAGAUGAUUCUAGAAAAGUAAAGGUCUUGACAUCUUUAUCACCUAUAAACUUAUUUUGAAGGUAACUGCCAUAGGAUUUGUUAUACCCUAAGGAGAGAAUAUAAUAAUAAAGGAGACUCAAGACACAGGAAAAUUAGUGAUCUAACACAGGAGAGAGGCUACGGGAACCUGCAGAAAGAUAGUGUCUUAGUCAGCUUGGGCAGACGUAACAAGAUGCUGUAUUCUGGGUGGCCUAAACAACAGAAACUGAUUUUCUCAUUCAUUCUGUAGGUUGGAAAUCUGAGAUCAGGGUCCCAGCAAGAUGGGCCUAUGGUGAGAGCUUCCUUCCUGGCUUAAGAUGACAGCUCUCUUUCUUUGUAUUCACAUGGCACGAGGGUGGGGGAUGGGGUGGAUGCUUCCUCAUCUAGAAGAUGGAAAACAUGCCUUGGCUAUAAGAGGGCUGUGAGGAGAACAAGUUAAAUAAAAGUAGUAAAAUUGCGGCAUGUAAGUUGCACGGAUUAGGGAAACUCUCCCACACUCACACUGCAUAACUUUGACUUCUUUCCCCAGUGGCAUCCAAAGUCCUUUUGUUGGUGCGUGAGCCAGAAAUUCCCUGGCAUGUUCAUUGCCUGGUACAUCUGGUAUGCAGUCUUCUGGCUUAGUCUCAUCUUCCUAAACAAAGAGAACAGGUAUAAACAGCAAGGCAAGAGAGCACUGGGAUUCUCUCCCACUGCCCUUAGAGUUACCCUCGCCUGGCUUUUUCCUGGGCUGCCGGUGCCAACAUCCCCUUAACUACCCCUCAGAACUAGAAAGAAAGACAAGUUACACCUGAUUGAAGAAACAAACGAAUGUACCAAAACAACUAUGCCAAAAACAAUGUAGCUGUUCUUAGAGAAAAGUUACUGGUGAAGCAGAAAAAUGUCCUUAUAUAGCAGUGACUGGUAAGCUCCAAAUUUUGAUGUAAAUUAGAUUCUAAGAUUAAAAGAAAAAGUUUCACCAC